AGAACGAACGCUGGCGGCGUGCUUAACACAUGCAAGUCGAACGCGAAAGGGACUUCGGUCCUGAGUAAAGUGGCGCACGGGUGAGUAACGCGUAGAUAACCUGUCUUCAUGUCUGGAAUAAUACGCCGAAAGGGGUACUAAUACCGGAUAUUCUUGCUUUUCAUAAGUUAUGCAAGCAAAGGUGGCCUCUGCAUAUGCUACUGCAUGAAGAGGGGUCUGCGUACCAUUAGCUAGUAGGUGGGGUAAUGGCCUACCUAGGCGACGAUGGUUAGCGGGUCUGAGAGGAUGAUCCGCCACACUGGCACUGGAACACGGGCCAGACUCCUACGGGAGGCAGCAGUGAGGAAUAUUGCGCAAUGGGGGAAACCCUGACGCAGCGACGCCGCGUGAGUGAGGAAGGCCUUCGGGUCGUAAAGCUCUGUCAAGAGGAAAGAAGUGUACAAUGGCUAAUACCUGUUGUAUUUGACGGUACCUCUAAAGGAAGCACCGGCUAACUCCGUGCCAGCAGCUGC
Molecule: ribosomal RNA, 512 nt
Filed under: uncultured bacterium
Lineage: Bacteria
Description: bacterial SSU rRNA
Rfam family: Bacterial small subunit ribosomal RNA
Source: RNAcentral